GUCGAGCGGUAGAGAGAAGCUUGCUUCUCUUGAGAGCGGCGGACGGGUGAGUAAUGCCUAGGAAUCUGCCUGGUAGUGGGGGAUAACGUUCGGAAACGGACGCUAAUACCGCAUACGUCCUACGGGAGAAAGCAGGGGACCUUCGGGCCUUGCGCUAUCAGAUGAGCCUAGGUCGGAUUAGCUAGUUGGUGAGGUAAUGGCUCACCAAGGCGACGAUCCGUAACUGGUCUGAGAGGAUGAUCAGUCACACUGGAACUGAGACACGGUCCAGACUCCUACGGGAGGCAGCAGUGGGGAAUAUUGGACAAUGGGCGAAAGCCUGAUCCAGCCAUGCCGCGUGUGUGAAGAAGGUCUUCGGAUUGUAAAGCACUUUAAGUUGGGAGGAAGGGUACUUACCUAAUACGUGAGUAUUUUGACGUUACCGACAGAAUAAGCACCGGCUAACUCUGUGCCAGCAGCCGCGGUAAUACAGAGGGUGCAAGCGUUAAUCGGAAUUACUGGGCGUAAAGCGCGCGUAGGUGGUUCGUUAAGUUGGAUGUGAAAUCCCCGGGCUCAACCUGGGAACUGCAUCCAAAACUGGCGAGCUAGAGUAUGGUAGAGGGUGGUGGAAUUUCCUGUGUAGCGGUGAAAUGCGUAGAUAUAGGAAGGAACACCAGUGGCGAAGGCGACCACCUGGACUGAUACUGACACUGAGGUGCG
Molecule: ribosomal RNA, 699 nt
Filed under: Pseudomonas chlororaphis
Lineage: Bacteria; Pseudomonadati; Pseudomonadota; Gammaproteobacteria; Pseudomonadales; Pseudomonadaceae
Description: bacterial SSU rRNA
Rfam family: Bacterial small subunit ribosomal RNA
Source: RNAcentral